Molecule: long non-coding RNA, 1497 nt
Organism: Panonychus citri (citrus red mite)
Lineage: Eukaryota; Metazoa; Arthropoda; Arachnida; Trombidiformes; Tetranychidae
Exons: 3
Source: RefSeq, a predicted model, not a curated record
AUUUUUUCUUCUUCUCUGUCUACUUUCUCUUUUUCUCUUUCUUUUAUAUUCUCACUAAAAAUAAAAAUUCUUCUCAUUUGAAUUUUACUUCAUUUUCUUCUCUCUCUCUCAUCAUCAUCUUCAUCUUCUCUUCGUGUCUUCCUCGUGUUUUAUCUCUCUCUCUCUCUCUCUCUCUCUAUUAUGUCGACAUUUUUUUAAUUCUCUUUCUUUUGUUUUUUCUCUUUCUAUUUAUCUUGCAAUUCUCUUUCUCUCCUCAAGGUAAUCUCAUAUUCACUGGUAACGAAAAGCAAAACAUUGAGGAAAAUUUGUUUCCAACAUAUAACGUUUCAAGUUAAUUAAUUUCCAUCAUCAGCGAUAAUCACAAUUAGAUUGAUCUUUUAUAUUUAACAUCAACAAUUACCAUUCUCUCAACAGUUCAUGGUCAAGUUGUUAUUUCGUAUCAUUUGAUUAUCCAGUUAAUCCUUUAAAAUUACUUAAGAAAACGUCAUCUUCUUAAUCUUUGGUACUUCUUAUUCAUGAGUCUUGGUAUUUUCUAUACUGAGUGAGCGUUUGGACUCAUUUUAUUGGAAAUUUGUUCCGUUUUGUUUUCAUCUUUCUCUCUUUCUCUCUCUCUCUCUCCUCACCAUCUUAAUAACCUUUACACUUUCCUCCCUUCAAGUUGACUAUCAGCUUAAUCUCUCCCUAAUCCAUUAGGUUGACCUCACAUUAACCAUUUCUUUUUAAGCUUGGAAUCAUUUAUGUGCAGUUAGGCUUAUGGCAGCAUUUAAAUAUACCAAUUUAGAGGCCGCUUAAUUGUCAAGAAAUGGAUCAACUUCACUUAAAUUGUAGCGAUUUACAUUGAACUCAAUCAAUCACAAUUAGAUUAUGGGGAUAGAUUGACUUCCUAAAAUGAUAAACUACCGUCGUUAACUCACUAGACUUAAUGAUUAUUAUUUUAAUCUUGAGUUUCCAAGUUCAUACCGUUCAUCAUUUAAUUAUUCUGGUUACAAUCAAGAUAAACUACUACAAUUAUCCUAGGAUUGGACAGAAUCUAAUUCAGUCCAAUCCCUUUUUUUACCAACUUGAUUAGUUAGAAAAUGGCAACAAUCAAAGUCUAAGUGAAAAAUACUUCGGUCCUUGAGUUUACCUUAAAAGCUUUCAACAUUAGCUCAAUUUAAGGAUAAUUUAACUAAUCACUAUACACAAUGAUUACUUUAAAAGUAGUCCGAUGUCUAUCCUGGAACAAUCAACUAAUUGCUCCAUCAGUUUACUAAUUAUCAACAGGAAAAGAAAUUGAAUCAACUAUUAAUACAAAACCUUGAAAUAUUAUGAUUUCCAAUCAAUUAUCCCACAAAAUUAUUUGAUUGUUAUCAUCACUUUACAACAUAUGAUUGGAAACGAAAAUUUGAACGAAAUUGAAUUGAAUUAAAUUUUGGAAAAUGAAACAAUUUAAAUUAAUCAUUGGAUAAUUGGAAAUUUCUUUGAGACUAUUUAAUUAUCAUGGAUACAGAGAGAAAG